AGUGUAACAAGGAGCGUGUAACGAAGCAAACAAAAAGAAAAAACAACAAGAAAGCUCUCCCAGAUAAUGGAGUAGGAGUGGUUUUAAGGAAAUUAGGACACCGGGCCCAGGUGUCACCAAUUCCACAAAGGGGCUGCGGCCACACCUACAAGGACAACACACAAAAAACAAAACAAGACAACCGCAGGCAAAGCCAGCAGACCAUCACACAUGGCACACGCAUACGUCUGUGCUGCUGAAGCUUUGCGCCAGCAUUGCCAGUUUGGGCAGCGAAUCUCAUACCUGUGUUCAUGUCAGCGUUGUUCACGGUUUGAAUACGUGGUCAUGCGGAUAUUUAGAAUGUGAAUAGCGAUCUUCAGAUGAGAGGGGUACUACAGGCCCUUGAUGUAGGUAAAACAAAGGUGCAGUGGCGGCGCCAGAGGGGUGUCCGGGGUGGCACUGGACACCCCUGACAUCCGAUUGGCCACCCCGGGUGCCACCCCAAAAUUGUAUUUGCUGCUGGCAGUUCCUGAUGCUGAUUGACAUCUCAUUUGUCUAAAGAAGUUUUUGAAUUUAACAGGUGUUACGCUGCUCAAGCUAUUUUCAAAUCAAAGACGAGCCGAAGACAAGAGCAUGGUUUCAAGGUUUUAAAGGCACCUCUGAUUUCAACGUGGUGGGAAAUCAGUGGACAGAGAUGUCGGUGGCGAAGGUGAUGUUUCCUUCGCAGAAGCCUGCGGCUCCCGUCAGGCAGACACUGUUCGAUGUGGCAGCGAUGUGUCAAUGUGUCGCAGGAAGGUGCAUUUGGUGAAAGCAAAGCUGCUGGCAGUGUCAUUGGAGAAAGUUGUGACUGUUCGAGGCACGGGGAAAGCGGUCAAGAAGUACACAGUCUCUGAUCAUCUGAUGGCACUGCCCAGAUGAGUCUUUGUGUUUGGGAGAAGCAGAUCGAUGCCGUGGAGCCGCAGUCAUGCUACGCCUUCACGGAUGUUUCCACCACAGACACAGCGAUUCAGAAGAUUUGUGAUAUGGAUGUCGGGGAGGUGGAAGGUGUAGCAGAAGAGGACUCUGUUAUGACGGUUAAGUCUUCCGUUACUGGAGCUGAGAUUAAAGCCGGCGUAAAGUGUGCCCUGUGUGGUAGCCUGCAGGACAGUUGGGCCACCCAGAGCCGGUUUUUUACGGUGCCAGAGUUGCAGGAUGCUGCAGAAGUCGGGGGCAUUUAGAGUAUUACGUGGGACGUUAAAGGUCAAAAAUGAGAAAAGGGCAGACUAUACAUUGACUGUUGGACACUGUAGUUUGGUGAAGUAUUUAAAACUCCGAAAAAUGACAACAUUAAUACACAAAGAAGAAGCUAUUGAGGAACAUCAUCUUUGCGAGGAUUGUCUUCAGUUUUCAUUUGAUAACGAGUGCAACGUCUGGUCUGACAUUCCCGAUACCACAGUCACUAGCUGCAGCGACGAGGCAUGUAGCAAGUCGUCAGAGUAGUUUCCUUUGAAGUUUUUGUUGUAUUAGCAUGUUGUUUUGUUUUUACUUAAUAUAUGUGUUGUAUUGCUGUGAGUGUGACGUUUUUGCGAUAAAGUUUGAUAUUUGUAACAUUUUGUACAUAGCCGUAGUUUACUUUGCAUUAGUUUUUAUUUCAUUGUCAGUUUUCAUUAUAUGAGAAGCUAAUUCAGAUGUUUGUGUGUUUUAUGUGUAAUAAAAUAAAACGACGUCA
Long non-coding RNA from Paramormyrops kingsleyae, 1687 nucleotides. RefSeq lists it as uncharacterized. Lineage: Eukaryota; Metazoa; Chordata; Actinopteri; Osteoglossiformes; Mormyridae. The record is from RefSeq and is a predicted model, not a curated record.